AUUGAACGCUGGCGGAAUGCUUUACACAUGCAAGUCGAGCGGCAGCGCGGGGGCAACCCUGGCGGCGAGCGGCGAACGGGUGAGUAACAUAUCGGAACGUACCCAGUCGUGGGGGAUAACUAUCCGAAAGGAUAGCUAAUACCGCAUACGACCUGAGGGUGAAAGCGGGGGACCGUAAGGCCUCGCGCGAUUGGAGCGGCCGAUAUCGGAUUAGCUAGUUGGUGAGGUAAAGGCUCACCAAGGCGACGAUCCGUAGCUGGUCUGAGAGGACGACCAGCCACACUGGAACUGAGACACGGUCCAGACUCCUACGGGAGGCAGCAGUGGGGAAUUUUGGACAAUGGGGGGCAACCCUGAUCCAGCCAUUCCGCGUGAGUGAAGAAGGCCUUCGGGUUGGUUAAAGGACUCUUUCAGCAGGAACGAAACGGU
Molecule: ribosomal RNA, 429 nt
Filed under: uncultured bacterium
Lineage: Bacteria
Description: bacterial SSU rRNA
Rfam family: Bacterial small subunit ribosomal RNA
Source: RNAcentral